UCCAAAGGCGACUCGACAGCAACUCAUUUUUGAUCGCCCGUUACUAAAUAUGUUAUUAUUAGUCUAUGUUUGUUAAUUUUGUUUGGAUAAUUUUUAAGCAACUAUGUGGUUGUGGUGUUUCCCGAGGAGGAAAAUGAAGACGGAAAUGUUCCCAUGGAUAUCAUUUCUGAAAGAUGGCUGGUUAUAGAUAACGGGCAAGAUAUGUGUUACUGGCCGCCAUAUGAAUCCGAUUUGUUAAACACCAAGGCAGUCAUCAAUCACCAAGAUUUCAAUCAAAAUUAAGCUGGAUUUUGGCUUGUAAAUGUCAAAUACAAUUCUACUGAAUACUGAAAGGCGAAAUAAAAAAUGGGUAGAUUACUACAACAGCAACAAAAUGUCUCCCAAACAGAAGAGGAAGUGGCGGUAAAUGUUUAUAGAAAAAUAUAAUUCGAAGUUUUCCUAAAUUCGAAACAAGAGAUUUCAUCAUAUGAUAUUACCAGAAAAAAGCAAGUUACAUCUACUGUGCCAACUACAUCAAAACCAAGGGUGCAAGAGCGAGAUAUGGCCGCAAGUACGAGCUACAAUGCAUGCACUUGCAAAUGAUUACAAAAAAUAAAGAUGACACUCAAAUAGACCAGAUCACAUUUACAGCUGCCCAUAAUGAAUA
Molecule: long non-coding RNA, 646 nt
Organism: Photinus pyralis (common eastern firefly)
Lineage: Eukaryota; Metazoa; Arthropoda; Insecta; Coleoptera; Lampyridae
Exons: 3
Source: RefSeq, a predicted model, not a curated record